GUACCAUUAAAGCAUUUGCCCAUGAAGAUAAAUUUACCUGUGAUAACUGGCACUGUUCCCGGACACUGAUGGCGAAUGCCGCUGCGGAUCUAGCUAUAUCAGGUCUGGUUCUGGAGGUCACAGCAACAGCGUCUUCCUUUAUAAAAUGAGUUGUAAUUUUUUAAGAGCGAGUAGAUGGACACAGUCAAAGUUGCAAUUGAUUUGAAAGGAAAUGGACAUUUUUGAGGAGAUGCCCGAGAGGGGAAAGACUUCAUUUUAAUCCCGUAUUCGCAGCUCUAUCGUCUAAGGUAAGAGGAAUUAAAUGUUUUUUUUAAUGUUUAAUCUUAGCAUUCAAUGGAGAUAAUACCUAUGAAAGAGAAAGUGUGCAUAGGCUACUCAAAUCAUGCAUGAUUAACGCGCACACUCGCAGUGUGGAUUCAAUGAGGCCCAUAUUUAAAUAUAUCGUUAUAUGUAGGACAAAAAUAUUAAAUUACAUAACAAGUCAGCAUCACACAGAGAGCAACCUAAUUGGCACGAUAAGAUUGAAAAUAAAUUGAAUUGUGGAAACUUACGGACUCAAGGCGGCCGUCAGCUUCAGGCUGUGGUGACGGUUCAGGUAAAGAGGCAUCAGGUGGGACAGCCGUAGUGCUGGCCGCUGCAGGAGUGCUACAGCUGGAAAACACCGAAACACCAAAUGUUUCCUGUCCCAAAGACCGAGAAGAAGGCGUCGUACUCCAUCCGCUUGGUGGGCAUCCAGUCCUCAAAUACUGAAGGUGCGUCCGUUUAAUGUGGCGAAAGAAAGAGUUAAAAACUCUAAAGUCCUGUUCACAUCCAUCAAUACCACAGUAAACCCCAAAAUCCGGGCUGCGACUGUGACUUUUAUUAAUGUGGCUAAGGAGUACUUUAAGACUUAAAGCAACAAAGACGAAACAUAUCAUACACCUCCACGCCGCCAUGAUGCACCGUUGUUGUCGCGGGCUAAUGAUCCAGAGGUGGAUGGGGAGGGGGGCACUCAUGAAAUAAUUUGUUAUUAUUUUAACAAUACAUUCCUCUAAUUAUAAAUGCGACUUAAUUAAUUUUACGAUGGUAAGUUUUUAAAAAAUAAUAUUUUGCUAACAUGUUCAUGUUUACGUCCGAUCAUUUCUGCGCAUCCUCAGUUCAUGUCCUCCAACGGUCCCACCUCAAUGACGUCAGUGUUCGCGGUUCACCGCUUGAGUAACUGAAAGAUUUGGGUGCGUUACAUUUGACGAAGAAGUGCAAGAAGAGCGGCUCAAUUUCUACGGUACCGCCUGUUAAUGCUUCAGGGAGCUGAUGAAUCUAAGAUGGAUACUUUUGACGAUGCCACUCUAUCGGUGUUGGAGGUGUGAAAAUACCACGGACCAAGAUGCCAACAAUUGUGCCAUGCCACCAUGCCAGCCUCAAACCUCAACCCCCAUAUCUGCUGAGAAAAAAAUGAAAAUGCCAGACCCUCCAGAGUAUGUGGUGUACACAGAUUCAGAGUUAGACAUGGUGCGUAGUCAAUACUUUGCACUGCUCUGCAAUGGAAAGGAAAAAAAUUACAAACUGUCCAAGGAGCUAUGUUGCAGACUUGUAAGGAACACAAUAACCAGUAUGGUUGCUAUCCUGCGUGCUAGUCCCAUGGGGAAAGAAGUCAGUUACCCGUCAAAAUUGGAAAUAAGAGCCAUGUCACAGAAGAUUAUAGACUAUUACCCAAUGUUACGGGAUGAUGAUCCAAACAUGCCUUAUCUGACUAUCUACACCAAAAUGUACAAGCGACUCCAAAAUAUGAGAUCCCCACGGAAGAGGCAAGGCUCUGUACCACAAAGAGGAGUGGCAAAGACAGCUCUCUUCAGUGCAGACAACCAAGACAUGGAGACGGAUUGGACAGACACAAGCAACUCAAGUGAUAAUACCUUACUUCUUGAGAGCAAUGAUGACCUUACCGAGGACAACUCCAGUGAAGCAUUCCCAGCACAUCGACCCCCCUCUGUGCCAAGGAAGCCAAAGACCAAAACCUUCCUGCUGCCAUCCGCAUCAGCCUCAGGCUCCUCACUCAGGACUGUGAUCGCUUCACCAACCACGCCUGCAAAGGAUGAUGUUGUCGGCCAGGACAGUCUGAAAAUGCAGGCUAGGCACUACAAAACCUUGAGCAACAUGUACAAUAAGCCAAAUGCAAAACCCAAUCAAAGUGAUGUUGCUCAAGUUUUAGACCUUGAGUUUAAGGCCAGACGGGCUUUCAUUGAUGCAGAUGUUACAAGGGAAGAAGACCGACCUGCAAAAAUCUUUGAGGCAUAUCCAUGCUUUAGAGAUGUUCGAAAUGCAAUGGAUGAGCUGCGGUGCAUAGUAGGUGGCACCAACAGCAGAUACAUCGAGGAAGUGAAAGGAAGAUGGGCAGACUUUUGUGCCAAGGUGCAGUUCUAUGGUGUGUGGAAGAAAGCCCUGAAACCCCCCUUUCCAUUGGAUGUCCGUGGAGUGGAGUUCACGCUUGCCCUCUUCAAUGCACUCCCAUCCCUUUUCCCCUCACCAACUUCACCACCAAAGAAGCUUGGAAAUAGCUGUGAGGCACUUCUUCAUGUCCUGAAG
Long non-coding RNA from Gasterosteus aculeatus aculeatus (three-spined stickleback), 2562 nucleotides. NCBI's taxonomy places the organism in Eukaryota, Metazoa, Chordata, Actinopteri, Perciformes, Gasterosteidae. The record is from Ensembl.